AAACCUUGGCUCCCCACCCCCAGGCCAGCAGACGCCCCCGAGCCGGCUGCUCGCUUUCGCUGCAGCCCCCGCACCAGAGGGGGCUGCGAGACGGGUGCCCGUCGGCGGCCGGGCGGCUAUCCCCUGCUCUGCCCGCCCCCUCCCCCCGAGAAGUGACCCUCGGCUCCCACGUACCCGCUAGGGUCUCUCGCCGGCCCUGCCCUCCGACCCCCGCCGAGCUGAACCCCGCGACUAGCAGCCCCCGCCCUCUCGGCCCUCUCCGGCCCCGGGCCGGCGGACAAAGCUCCGGACACCCUGACCGAACGGUCACCUCCCCCCGCCCCAUCCCGGCCCGCCCGCGGCCCCGUACCUCGGCAUCACGGCCGGGUCCUAGCCCACAUUUGGAAGCAACCGGCACCCACGCAGGUUCUGGAACUUGCCAAGAAUCUUUCUGCCUGGAAUCUCAUUUCCCUACUCUGCCUGAUGAGCUCCUAUUCAUCCUUCAGAACCCAACUCAGGUUCCAGGGGUUGAGCCCACUCCAUCCUGUCCAAAGGCAGAAGCCUCCUCCAAGUCCUGCACGAUCCGCCCUCUAACAUGCAAGCCCAUCUGGAACCUCUGGAAUCCUACUGGGCUUCUUCGCUCCCUAAAGUUUACAGACCCAGGGCAAAAUAGGGAACUGCAAAUCCAAGUGGCCCAGAGGUCUCUCCACCCCCACUCUGCCCUCUCUGGGCCUGAGCCUGACAGGAGAUUCCCAGCACAUCUGGUUGUACUUAAAUCAUCCAGCACUACUGGAGUAGGUUCCCUGCUUCUCUCCCUUCAGCCCCAGCCUCCUCCCCUUCCUACACCAGCCUUCCAGGUCUCUCCUCCAGGAUGCCUUCCCUAACUCAUCCAGCCUCGGUAUCUGCACCCCACCCUUGAACCUCCACCUCUUUGGGUCUGGAGUCUGCCAGGGUGUGGAAGGGAGGGUGUGUGCUCCGCAAGACUCAGUGUGUAGAAUCUCAUCCUUCCCGAGCAUUGGUCCUAGAUAGAAACCUUCCCUUCAGGUAAGGAAGGGAGCCAGCCAAGAGCCUCCCCUCUGCUCCCUUGGCCUCAGGGGUGGCUGUCUCCAGUUAUGGGUGUGUACAGUGGGGAGGAACAAGUUCAGAUCCAGGCAGAGCCAUUCCUUUGGCAACUCUUGCUGUCAGCCAUCUUCCAAAGAGCUUUGCAAAAUGUUAAAGAACAAAAGAGAAAUAAAUACAGAGAAUAUAGCAAGUAUAAAAAUGCACAGUCUAGGCCAGGCACGGUGGCUCACACCUGUAAUCCUAGCACUUUGGGAGGCUGAGGCAGAUGGAUCACUUGAGGUCAGGAAUUUGAAACCAGCCUGGCCAAGAUGGUGAAACCCCAUCUCUACUAAAAAUACAAAAAUUAGCCAGGUGUGGUGGCGGGCACCUGUAGUCCCAGCUAUUUGGGAGGCUGAGGCAGAAGAAUUACUUGAACCCCGGAAGUGGAGGUUGUAGUGAGCCAAGAUCACACCACUGCACCCCAGCCUGGCUGACAAAGCAAGAUUCUGUCUCAAAAAAAAAAAAAAAAAAAAAAAAGAAUGCACGGACUCUAAAGAACAAGUUUGUAACCUACCAUGACCUGCUCCACCAGGGCUCCAGGUUUGAAUGUUCAUUCAUUCUUUUAUUCAAUAGCAUGUACUGAUGCCUGAGUCUACUAAGUUCUAGGAACAGUGACUCAAGUAAGAUCCCAGGGUCAGUGGGGGACAGGAACAGGUGGAUGAACAAAUGCUGCAUGCUGUAAUGGACAUGAGUCAGGGAGACAGAGGGGUGCCAAGGUUGAAGGUCAGAGACCCUGGACUGAAUCCCACCUCUGUCACUUUCUGCACUGUCUCUGGGGAGCCACUUAAUCUUGGGGAGCCUGUCUCCCCACCUGGAAAAGGACGAUGAUGUGACCUCACAGGGUCGUAGUGGGACUCAAAUAAGAUAAUGUGUGUGAAAACGCCUUGCAAAGUGCUAAGUGAGUUGUUGCUAUUAUGAUUAGGCUCAGGGGCUGCCUAUCUGACACUCAUUUUUCUAAUGCCUCAACAGCUGUCUCUCUUACCCUCCCAGGGCAGGUACCACGUUGGAGAAACUUCUGAGGGUGAAGGACACCCACCCUAGAGUAGUGGGCAGUUAAGCUGCCCGCAUAGACACACACACACACACUUUAGUUACACAAGCAGAACACCUUUUUAUAAAAAUUCGAAAGGCAUCAUGUGCCUACAGCCUCAGUUACUCAGGAGGCCGAGGCAAGAGGAUUGCAUGAGUCCUGGGCAACAGAGUGAAACCCAUUUCUACUAUUUAAAAAACACUAAUAAGAAAAAAUAGAUAAGCAGAAAACAAAAAAAUUAAAAAUCCAACGCCUUUAAUCCCACCACCCAGAGAUAACCACCAGUAAUAUGUUGGAGUCAGUUAGCCGGUCACAGUGGUGGGGGGCCUGUGGUCCCAGCUACUCGGGAGACUAAGGUGGGAGGAUUGCUUGAGCCAGGGAGAUUGAGGCUGCAGUGAGCCGUGAUUGCGCCAAUGCACUCCACCCUGGGCAACAAAGCAAGACCCCAUUUCAAAACAAAACAAACAAAAAACCAUUUUGGAGUCAGCUAGAUAUUAUUCUAUUUAUCUCUCUCUACACACACACACACACACACACACACACACACACACACACACACACACAUAUGUAUAUAUAGAGAGAUCUCCACAGUGUUUUAUAAUAUACUUUUCUUAAUAGACAAUUUUUUUUUUUGAGAGGGAGUCUUGCUCUGUUGCCCAGGCUGGAGUGCAGUGGUGUGAUCGCGGCUCACUGCAACCUCCACCUCCCAGGUUCAAGCAAUUCUCCUGCCUCAGCCUCCUAAGUAGCUGGGAUUACAGGCAUGUGCCACCACAGCUGGCUGAUUUUGGCAUUUUUAGUAGAGACGGGUUUCACCAUGUUGACCAGUCUGGUCUCAAACUCCUGACCUCAAGUGAUCCACCUGCCUUGGCCUCCCAAAGUGCUGGGAUUACAGGCGUGAGCCACCGCACCCAGACAAUGGACAAAUAUUUUGAACAUCUUUUGCUGUCUAUAAUACGUUUAUACCACACAAUUGUUAAUGACAGCUUAAUAUUCCAUCAAGUGGACAUGUCUAAAUUAAUUUAAAAAGUUUCCUGGCCAGGUGCGGUGGCUCUUGCCUGUAAUCCCAGCACUUUGGGAGGCCAAGGCGGGCGGAUCAUGAGGUCAGGAGUUUGAGACCAGCCUGGCCAACAUGAUGAAACCCCAUCUCUACUCAAAAUACAAAAGUUAGGUGGGCAUGGUGGCGCACUCCUGUAGUCCCAGCUACUAGGCAGGCUGAGGCAGGAGAAUAGCUUGAACCUGGGAGGCAGAGGUAGCAGUGAGCCAAGAUCUCACCUCUGCAUUCAAGCCUGGGCAACAGAGUAAGACUCUUCUGGAAAAAAAAAAAAAAGUUUCCUUUGUUGUUGAUUUUUUUCCAGAAAUAAAAGCUUCAUGAACAAACCUGUAACUUCCACCUUUGUGCACGCGUCUAAUUAUUGCCUUAGGAUAAAGUUCUGGUAACCAGAGGCUAGGAAUGCAUAUUUUUAUCUCUGAGGAGCCAGGAGCCCAGGCCUCUGGGCAGUGCUCUCACCUCUCCUCCAGGCAGCCCUCCCAGACCUCCAGGGUUGAGUACAUCUCCCAUGGUCCUUUCCUCUCCAAGUAACUUCAUCUCUUAGAGACCUGCCCUGAGACCCCUGAAAAAUGCUGGGAAAGUCUGGCUGGUGACGGCCAGGAGGGGCCGGGGUGGAGAGCACAAAGCAGGCUUGUCUGGGGCACGGGAAGAGGCCCCGCCCUCCGUGCUGCUGGUCCAACAUUCCUCCUGGACAAUGGCUGCCUUGGGAAUCCCGGGAAUGAAGGAGGCGGGCGGCUUCCCGAACCUGCGCCCUCCACCCCCAUCAAGUUGCGCCCUUUCCCCAGAUGGAAAGCAGGGGCACUUUGCAUUGCGGCAGGGUGGGGAGGCCAGCUAGCCUCCAUGCCUACAGCCCCCGCCCCUCCUUUUACCAACACUAAUCCACAACGCCCCGCAGCCGAGUCCUGCUCAGCCACCCCAUCCCCAUGGACCUUGGGCGAGUCCUGCUCCUUCAACUGUAAAAUCAGGAGCUUGGAUUCAGUGGUUGCAAAACUCCCCACAGAUCUCAAAGGCCGAAAUGUAGUGACUAAGGCAUGCACAGGCUUUGGAGCCAGGUUGCCCGAGUUCAAAUCCUGGGCUGCCCUUUACCCUGGGAACUUAAGCCCCUGGGUUGCCGGCUUCCCUCUCGCAAAGUGUGUUUGUUGAUACAGCUCCACUCCCUCCCGAUGGGAAGGCAAACUCCUCAAAGUCUAUAAAUCCCGAUCCAUGUGUAACUCUGCUCAAAACACUAACCAGAUCUCCAACCCCAGGCCCCCUCAUACCCUGUGCGGAUUUUGGCCCCUGGACAUUUGCCCAACAACUGGCCACACUUCUGGGAGCUGCGACGGGCACCUGAUAUCCCUGACGAAGCAUCCUUCCCCAGCAUGUUUCCAUCUUCCCUUGCAUCAGUCAUAAGGCCGUAAAGCUGUAAAUGGUAAAGGCUUACUGGGGCACACAAAAAUUUUAAAUAUAGGAAAACUCUUAUUUAUUUAUUUAUUUAGAGACAGAGUCUCACCCUGUCGCCCAGGCUGGAGUGCAGUGGUGUGAUCUUGGCUCUCUACAACCUCCACCUCCCGGGUUCAAGUGAUUCUCCUGCCUCAGCCUCCUGAGUAGCUGGGAUUACAGGCAUGCGCCACCACGCUCAACUAAUUUUUGUAGGUUUUGUUUGUUUGUUCGUUUGAGUAGAGAUGAAUUUUCGCCACAUUGGCCAGGCUGCUCUCGAACUGCUGACCUCAAGUGAUCUGCCCGCCUUGGCCUCCCAAAGUGCUGGGAUGAUGGGCAUGAACCACUGCACCAGCCAGAAAACUCUUAUGUUAGGUCAUAUGUCCUUAUUUUUGUUUGGGAAAUGCAGGCAUUUCCAAUGCCACCAGCAAUUGCUAGGCAUCAUGGGUGGUAUACACCCCAGGCUCUUAUUAACCUAUUGGAGGGUUAGAACAAACACACUUCAACAGGGACCCAUUCACAAAGUUACCUCUGGAAAUAUUCCUGAGCUUUUUGCCACAAAUCCCUGCCCACUCUCCCUCAUAGACUUGUUCCCUGCUUCCCCUUACUCACCUCCUCCUCAGCCCUAUUCCUAUGCUCCCCUGAAUUCAGAUCCUCUGCUGCAAGUGCCAGAAAACUCCCCUCAUAAUGGCUUCUACUAUAAGGAAAAUACAUGAUCGUAUUUCAUCCAAUUUAGACACCAAUGAUGUUAAGAAGCACUGCUGCUUCAUGUACUUGAUUGAUUGAUUGAUUGAUUGAUUGAUUGAUUGAUUUUUCAGAGACAGGGUCUUGCUGUGUUGCUCAGGCUGGUCUUGAACUCCUGGGCUGAAGCCAUCCUUCCACCUCGGCCUCCCAAAGUGCUGGGAUUACAGGCAUGAACCACCAUACUUCAUGUACUUUAGAAAGAAAAAACACUGGCCGGGCGCGGUGGCUCACGCCUGUAAUCCCAGCACUUUGGGAGGCUGAGGCGGGUGGAUCACAAGAUCAGGAGUUCAAGACCAGACUGGCCAACAUGGUGAAACCCUGUGUCUACUAAAAAUACAACAAUUAGCUGGGCGUGGUGGCAGGUGCCUGUAAUCCCAGCUAUUCAGGAG
RNAcentral lists this long non-coding RNA (5710 nucleotides) under Homo sapiens (human). RNAcentral's name for it is "non-protein coding lnc-ANKRD33-2:16". Lineage: Eukaryota; Metazoa; Chordata; Mammalia; Primates; Hominidae. The record is from RNAcentral.